This 452-nucleotide ribosomal RNA is filed under the name uncultured organism. RNAcentral's name for it is "partial 16S ribosomal RNA". It matches the Rfam family "Bacterial small subunit ribosomal RNA", at positions 330 to 798 of the family's 1533-position model. The record is from RNAcentral.
CGUACACUCCUACGGGAGGCAGCAGUGGGGAAUAUUGGACAAUGGGCGCAAGCCUGAUCCAGCCAUGCCGCGUGAGUGAUGAAGGCCCUAGGGUUGUAAAGCUCUUUCACCGGUGAAGAUAAUGACGGUAACCGGAGAAGAAGCCCCGGCUAACUUCGUGCCAGCAGCCGCGGUAAUACGAAGGGGGCUAGCGUUGUUCGGAUUUACUGGGCGUAAAGCGCACGUAGGCGGACUAUUAAGUCAGGGGUGAAAUCCCGGGGCUCAACCUCGGAACUGCCUUUGAUACUGGUAGUCUUGAGUUCGAGAGAGGUGAGUGGAAUUCCGAGUGUAGAGGUGAAAUUCGUAGAUAUUCGGAGGAACACCAGUGGCGAAGGCGGCUCACUGGCUCGAUACUGACGCUGAGGUGCGAAAGCGUGGGGAGCAAACAGGAUUAGAUACCCCGGUAGUCCCAU